AAGUCGUAACAAGGUUUCCGUAGGUGAACCUGCGGAAGGAUCAUUAUUGAAUUAACAAAAAAGAUCACAGACUGUUGCUGGCUCAGCUUUGAGCAAAACAUGUGCACGUCUUGAUUGACUUGUUUUCAAAUUCUUAUCACCUGUGCACCUCUUGUAGACUGUUUUUGGAUCCAUCAAAAGUGGAAACACUGGUUGAUUUGCUGUGCUUGAUUGGUUUUCUUUGUAAAAAUCUUUUAGGCCAGCUGUUCUUGUUGGGUCCGUUGGGUUUUAUUAUCCUUCAACAACAGUCUAUUUGCAUUAUACAACCCAACCUGAAUGUAAUAGAAUGUGUAAUAUUGAAAAAACAAAAUUUACAACUUUCAACAAUGGAUCUCUUGGCUCUU
RNAcentral lists this unclassified non-coding RNA (383 nucleotides) under air metagenome. RNAcentral's name for it is "partial contains small subunit ribosomal RNA, internal transcribed spacer 1, and 5.8S ribosomal RNA". The stretch from base 1 to 46 matches the Rfam family "Eukaryotic small subunit ribosomal RNA", at positions 1786 to 1831 of the family's 1831-position model. The record is from RNAcentral.